Molecule: ribosomal RNA, 463 nt
Filed under: Salmonella enterica subsp. enterica serovar Paratyphi B
Lineage: Bacteria; Pseudomonadati; Pseudomonadota; Gammaproteobacteria; Enterobacterales; Enterobacteriaceae
Description: partial 23S ribosomal RNA
Rfam family: Bacterial large subunit ribosomal RNA
Source: RNAcentral
CGUGCUAAUCUGCGAUAAGCGCCGGUAAGGUGAUAUGAACCGUUAUAACCGGCGAUACCCGAAUGGGGAAACCCAGUGUGAUUCGUCACACUAUCAUUAACUGAAUCCAUAGGUUAAUGAGGCGAACCGGGGGAACUGAAACAUCUAAGUACCCCGAGGAAAAGAAAUCAACCGAGAUUCCCCCAGUAGCGGCGAGCGAACGGGGAGGAGCCCAGAGCCUGAAUCAGCAUGUGUGUUAGUGGAAGCGUCUGGAAAGGCGCGCGAUACAGGGUGACAGCCCCGUACACAAAAGCGCAUGUGUUGUGAGCUCGAUGAGUAGGGCGGGACACGUGGUAUCCUGUCUGAAUAUGGGGGGACCAUCCUCCAAGGCUAAAUACUCCUGACUGACCGAUAGUGAACCAGUACCGUGAGGGAAAGGCGAAAAGAACCCCGGCGAGGGGAGUGAAAAAGAACCUGAAACCGU